RNAcentral lists this ribosomal RNA (252 nucleotides) under uncultured bacterium. RNAcentral describes it as "partial 16S ribosomal RNA". It matches the Rfam family "Bacterial small subunit ribosomal RNA", at positions 89 to 334 of the family's 1533-position model. The record is from RNAcentral.
AGUAAAGUGGCGACCGGGUGAGUAACACGUGACUAACCUACCUUUCCGAGUGGGGGGAGUAAACCUCGGGAAACCGGGGCUAAUACCGCAUAACAUCUUUGGAGUGGAAAUUCUGGAGAUCAAAGGAGCAAUUCGCUGGAAGAGGGGGUCGCGGCUGAUUAGCUAGUUGGCGGGGUAACGGCCCACCAAGGCUUAGAUCGGUAGCCGGCCUGAGAGGGCGCACGGCCACACUGGAACUGAAACACGGUCCAG